This is a long non-coding RNA of Neopsephotus bourkii (Bourke's parrot), 1308 nucleotides long. RefSeq lists it as uncharacterized. The transcript is spliced from 3 exons. NCBI's taxonomy places the organism in Eukaryota, Metazoa, Chordata, Aves, Psittaciformes, Psittacidae. The record is from RefSeq and is a predicted model, not a curated record.
GAGAAUUUGGCUGUUUCACAGGGUAACAGUUUUGUCAUUUGCCUGUUCAGGAGGAAGUUCUUUAACUGAACAGAUUUUUCUGGCAGCAUCUCUGUUUGGAAGUGAGUCUCAUGGCAGCUCCCAGGUAUUCUGCCUAUCACAGAGGCAAGGUGUACUCCCUGUUCCAGGCAGAGCAGACUGAAUUAUGAGUCUGGCACAGAAGGACCAUUGUGUGUCCUACUGCAAGCACUGAAGCUGAGUCCAUCUUGAGAUCUUACUGAAGCACCUGAAGUCAGCUCACACUGUUUUGAUCCUCACAGCCCUGCUACAAUACCAAGUCAGGUUGUGGGGAUGAUGCAGCACUCCCUUGGGAAGUUUCAGCACAGCUUCAUAUUCCACCUAUAAAGCAUCAGAGGUGGUCUUAUUCCAGGCUGUCUGUCUGAUACAAUUGGGAUUUCAUAGCAAUAAGAGCUAAUAUUUGUUUACUUCUUUUCCUAAUUGUAACUAAUACAUCUUUCUGAAGACAGGCAAACAAAAAAAGAGGUUGAGGGUUCAAUAUGAUUCACUUCAGCCAGCUCCAGGAUAACAUUUGCCUCUGUGGGUAGCAGUGAUUCCCUACACUCUUGAUUGCUCAAUUUCCUUCCUACCCCCUCAGCAGACACUUUUUUCAUGCCAACUCAUACAGAGCUCACAGAAGCACAGGAAGCCUUUUGCUGUGUAAGAAGGACUUGAGCCCUUUCACGUGCUCUUGUGUCAUUUGUGAAAUUAGAGGCACAUGUAGCCUCAGUGCUAAGUGUACUGAUCCUCUGCUGAAAAACAGGUCACUUAAAAGCAAACCCACCUCAGUCAAUCCGUAUGUGUGAGUAUGAGUGCGUUACAUGUAUGUGUGGAGAGUGAGAGUGCUUUGUCAUGGUUUGGGUUGACUCAGUGGGAAUUGCAACAGAUCUUCUCACAGUGCUGCUGAGACAGAGAUUUUAACAUAUGAAUAAAUAACCAACAUGAUCUGCUACACACAGACUGCCUGAACCUUAUCCCAUGGAUAUAUAAAUGGUAUCAUUCAGUACAAAAGCUUCACAGGGUCUUCCUAAGUCAUCUGCUUCAGUCCUUGACUAUGAUAGGCAACUGCACCUCAUCCAUCUGCUCAUUCAGGGAACACAGCUCUCAUCUGAAAACUAAAUACUUUCUUUUGCCCUUAUUCUGUGAGGAAGACUAAAAUGCCUCUCUCUGACCUCAUGUGCACACAGGCCUGAGAAAACACUGGUGGGUGGCUCAUAAGAUCCUCCAAAGUGUCAUCAGUACUGCAUCAUCUCUCUGCCUGUGGAGACUCGG